UACGUAGGGAGCAAGCGUUGUCCGGAUUUAUUGGGCGUAAAGCGCACGCAGGCGGUUUAGUCAGUCUCUACUGACAGUGUCCGGCUCAACCGGGCAAGUGGUAGGGAAACUGCUAAACUUGAGGGCUUCAGAGGGAUGGGGAACUCCAGGUGGAGUGGUGAAAUGCGUUGAGAUCGGAAGGAACGCCCGUGGCGAAAGCGAGGUCCUGGACGUUUACUGACGCUGAGACGCGAAAGCCAGGGGAGCGAACGGG
Molecule: ribosomal RNA, 253 nt
Filed under: uncultured bacterium
Lineage: Bacteria
Description: partial 16S ribosomal RNA
Rfam family: Bacterial small subunit ribosomal RNA
Source: RNAcentral